CACGUAGGGCGCGAGCGUUGUCCGGAAUUAUUGGGCGUAAAGCGCGCGUAGGCGGUUACUUAUGUCGGAUGUGAAAGCCCUCGGCUUAACUGAGGAAGUGCAUUCGAAACUGGGUAGCUAGAGUACUAAAGAGGGUCGCGGAAUUCCCGGUGUAGAGGUGAAAUUCGUAGAUAUCGGGAGGAACACCGGUGGCGAAGGCGGCGACCUGGGUAGAUACUGACGCUGAGGCGCGAAAGCGUGGGGAGCAAACAGG
RNAcentral lists this ribosomal RNA (253 nucleotides) under uncultured bacterium. Its description in RNAcentral is "partial 16S ribosomal RNA". It matches the Rfam family "Bacterial small subunit ribosomal RNA", at positions 524 to 776 of the family's 1533-position model. The record is from RNAcentral.